Molecule: ribosomal RNA, 1007 nt
Filed under: uncultured Bacillus sp.
Lineage: Bacteria; Bacillati; Bacillota; Bacilli; Caryophanales; Bacillaceae
Description: bacterial SSU rRNA
Rfam family: Bacterial small subunit ribosomal RNA
Source: RNAcentral
AGGGGACGGUUCUCCGGACUAUUGAGGCGUAAGGGCUCGCAGGCGGUUUCUUAAGUCUGAUGUGAAAGCCCCCGGCUCAACCGGGGAGGGUCAUUGGAAACUGGGGAACUUGAGUGCAGAAGAGGAGAAUGGAAUUCCACGUGUAGCGGUGAAAUGCGUAGAGAUGUGGAGGAACACCAGUGGCGAAGGCGACUCUCUGGUCUGUAACUGACGCUGAGGAGCGAAAGCGUGGGGAGCGAACAGGAUUAGAUACCCUGGUAGUCCACGCCGUAAACGAUGAGUGCUAAGUGUUAGGGGGUUUCCGCCCCUUAGUGCUGCAGCUAACGCAUUAAGCACUCCGCCUGGGGAGUACGGUCGCAAGACUGAAACUCAAAGGAAUUGACGGGGGCCCGCACAAGCGGUGGAGCAUGUGGUUUAAUUCGAAGCAACGCGAAGAACCUUACCAGGUCUUGACAUCCUCUGACAAUCCUAGAGAUAGGACGUCCCCUUCGGGGGCAGAGUGACAGGUGGUGCAUGGUUGUCGUCAGCUCGUGUCGUGAGAUGUUGGGUUAAGUCCCGCAACGAGCGCAACCCUUGAUCUUAGUUGCCAGCAUUCAGUUGGGCACUCUAAGGUGACUGCCGGUGACAAACCGGAGGAAGGUGGGGAUGACGUCAAAUCAUCAUGCCCCUUAUGACCUGGGCUACACACGUGCUACAAUGGACAGAACAAAGGGCAGCGAAACCGCGAGGUUAAGCCAAUCCCACAAAUCUGUUCUCAGUUCGGAUCGCAGUCUGCAACUCGACUGCGUGAAGCUGGAAUCGCUAGUAAUCGCGGAUCAGCAUGCGCGGGUGAAAUACGUUCCCGGGGCCUUGUACACACCGCCCGUCACACCACGAAGAGUUUGUAACACCCGAAGUCGGUGAGGUAACCUUUAUGGAGCCAGCCGCCGAAAGGUGGGACAGAUGAUUGGGGGUGAAGUCUACAGGGGGGGACCGCCGAUAAAGGGGAGAAAAGGGGGGCCCGAGGA